This 1398-nucleotide long non-coding RNA is filed under the name Malus domestica (apple). RNAcentral describes it as "long non-coding RNA (MDOM_LNC005773)". Lineage: Eukaryota; Viridiplantae; Streptophyta; Magnoliopsida; Rosales; Rosaceae. The record is from RNAcentral.
ACCAUCCAAAUCACCCAAUUUCAUAUCUAGUUUACUUUGUUUUGCAAUCUGUUUAGUUUAAUUAAUUUCAUCCAAAUCAAUCCCCCCUUUAAUUAAGUGUGUUAGAUUAGUUAGGAAAGUGUUUAAAUCUGUCCAAUUUAGUGUUUUGAGUCUUACUAGUCCUAAAUUCGUCCAAUUAACUCCCUAGAGUCAGUUUGGAGUCAAUUUCACUUGUUUGUUCUAUUUUGAGUAGUUUGAGUCAAUGUUAAGUCUUAAGUGUUUAGUUUUGUGUUUCUAAGUCUAGUUUUGUGUUUUUGAGUCAUAUUUGUGUGGAUUAGCAGCCCUAGUUAAUCCCGGGUCUAGAACGAUCCCUACUUGCUUAAUACUACAAUUACAUGUUUAAUAGGGUUUAAUUUGUGUGUCGAGUUAAAAUUCUGAUAGGAGCAUAUUUAUGCGCCUUAGUUAGCUAGUUCUUAUGCAUUUUCGUUAUGUUUUCGUCGUUAAAGUAGUCUUUUGAUCUACUUUCAUGUGUUUUCAGGCUUAAAGGGCAUAUGACAUAAAAGGAUGCAAAUUGGAGCCUUUUGGAGCAAAAUGGAGCUUAGAUUGGAACGUACAUGCUUGGAGCACAAGGAAUGGACGAGUUUAAAGGGCAAAGGAGCUUAAGAAAUGAAGAAAUGAAUGUGAAGAACAAAGAAUUCAGAAUUAGAAACCAAAGUUUCUAAAGUUGGAAGUUUCUAUUCUUGGAGGUUUCCAUUUCCGAGAGUUUCUAUUCUUGGUUUUGGACUUUCUAGAAGCCCUAUCUACAAACCCUAACCCUAGCCCACUAAUUUGCCGCACCUAGGCCUUUAAAAUUUCUGAUUUCCUUGCCUUGCAAGGCAUUCUAGAAGCCUAAACCCUAGCCCACUAAACCAGCCGAACCCUAGGCCUUUUCCCUUGCAAAUUCUGAUUGUUUUAACCUAUUUUCUGGUGGAUUUGGGUUUCUAGAAACCCUAAUCUGAUUGCUAGGGUUUUUAAGUGCCUAUAUAUACUCUCUUAAACCUCUUGGCCGAAUCUAUCACCUCCCAUAUUCAUUCUACACGCCAAAACCCUAGUUCUAGUUCUUGCCGCAGCCUUCCAUCCCCAAACUCCCAACUUUCUGCCCAAAUUCAACCUUGCCGCAACCUUCCAUUCAAAUAACCAUUCAUCCACCAUAGCCGCACCUUUCCACCACCAUCACCACCUCGUGCAGCCACCAAAGGAGGAGAAAGAAGGAGUGCCGUGCAGUCCAAAGGAGGAAGACACCUUGCACAUGCAAUCUGCCAUUAGUGGAGUGUUUGGAGUUCUUUCUUUCUUUGUUUCUGUUUUCAUGUUUAAUUUAAAUUGUUGUUCAAUUAUGUUAGACAUGUGGAACUAAUUUCUUUUUAGUUAGAGGUGAAUUUG